CGCCGCCAGGUGCAGCGCACCACGCGAGGGGAAAACCACCGCACCGCGCGAGAGACGCGCUCAACAUGCAGGCCGUGGUGAGCCCCGCGCCCGUCCGCUUUCUCCUCCAUCCCCGUUCCCUCGUCUCCAACCCUAAUUCUUUUCCCCCUCCCCUACAGCCGCCUUUCCAAGCUCCUCAUCCCCUCCACUCCCUCGACAACGGUGGCGGCGGCACCCUCUGGUGGCGGAGGAGGAGGGGGGAGAUGGUGGCGGCGGCGCCCUCUGGUGGCGGAGGAGGAGGGGGGAGAUGGUGGCACAUCGGCGACCUUCCCCUCACACAUCCCAUCCCCCCUCGUCAUCCCGGAUCCCACCGGACCUGAGGCGUGCGGGCGCGGCAGCGACCUGCAAGGGAAGGGCGACGCUCGAAUAGAUCUAGCGCCAUGGAUCGGUCCUUGCGGAAGAAAGAGAAAAUGAGGAGCCGGGGUUGCUGAUCCGGCCGGCCCAAAUCAACACGCCUCCUCCUUCCGCCACCUCGCCCCACCAGCUUCCAGCGUUGUGGAUCCGCCGAGGAUGGAGGGCAGCAAGUGAGAGGGAGCAGGAGAAGAGGUGAUCUUUCUUCAUGCUGGGGUGGAGGAGCAGGGAUAGUUUGGAGGCCGGUGGUGGAGGGAAGGAGUCGCGGGGUGGAGGAGAGGUUGGUGCCAGGUCCAAGGAGCAGCGGGGGCAGAGCACCAGGAGGCGCUCCCAUUGCGAUGGGUGGAGCUGCAGAGGAGGGGAGGAGGAGGAUGCCGGGCUCAGCCACGAAGACGGCUCGGUCAGGUCGCGACGCAACAUCCGCCACUUCUGCUGGGCGUCGUCCCCUUUUUCCUCGGAAUCAAAUAGACCAGAUCAAUACUUGCCAGGGUGGAAUCUGCUGCUGCUGCACUGGUUGGUAAUUUGACAUACUACGGCCAGUGGUUGACAAUGAACCAUAAGGAGAAGAAGAACAUGCCAAAAGAUAGAUUGAGCAGCAGCAAGAAGGUGAAGCACCAGGGAGAUGCACAUGGCAUGCCGAAAACGUUGGGUGACCUCGGCCAGCGUUGGCUGUCCUUGCUGGCGACCUCGCCGUCUCCAACCCACCUCCAGCGGCCUGACGACACAGAGAAGAAUGGCAGACACUGAGGAUUUUGGCGGCAAUUUUUCUAAUUCGUUUUUACCUCAUGGAUUCUCAUUUAUCUCUCUAACUUCCAUUUACUCAAGACAAUUAUGGCUCUGGUAGAGAUCUAUUUUGUUCUGUUCUUUGUUAUAUGAUACAACCCAAGGAAACCGAGGCAACUAAUUUAUGCAUGCAAAUGGUUGGUUUAAAGAUCGAAGGCUCAUAUCUAGAUGGUUUUCUUCACAGCUCCAAGAUGAAGUAAAAGAAAAGCUUAUAACAGAAGAAACAUAGUUUGAUGGGCGUCCUUGCCAGUGGCAUCGCAGUCUCCAACCCGUCCGCGGGUAUUUCAGCUCCGUCCCAUUCAGUUUACUCCUUUUUGAUUUUUUUUCCUACUUGAGCCUUGGAGAUUGCUAAUGGAAAUUUCUCUGGUGAGUUUUGCUUGUACCAUUGGUGCAGAGGAUGUCUUGCUGAACAUAGUUUUUAGUUCUUGAUCUUUUUUCAUAUAAGAAAUCCAAAUACAGUAAUGGCUCUUUCUGGGAGCAAGGCUGUCAUAUAAGGGGAAAAUUUUAGAAGCUAAGCGACCAUAAUUUAAAUCAUGUGUGCCUUGUUUGCUUCCUUAUUGUUAUAUUGCAUUAGAGAUCUUUAGUAUUUUGACUUUCUAAAAAUGCAGAGCAGAUCUUCCGUAUUUUCAAUUUUCAGUUACAUUUGGUCACGAGUUGUGAGAUGCAUAUAAUAUUAGCUUACUUCACAACCAUUCAUGUGGUUUAUUCGGUUUGGUUGGUCGCUGCUGGUACUUUCAUACCAUUUGGUUAUGUGGCAGUGUGUGCUUUUUGUGUCUGCCCAAAUCCAAACUGCGCGUGGGGGCGGGUGUUCUCAUCCAGGCCUGGGCGUCCUUGCCGGCGACUACUUGCUGUCUAACCCAUCCACAGGUGUACCAAUUCAUUUCCGUCUCUUCGAUUUUCCUGUCCAAGUCCAUGCUUUGGUUUAUCUUAGUUGGCGUGAGAGGUGCAAAUGCGAGGAUAGACUAUGCUAUAGUUCUUCAAUUUCUUCUUGUUAAAAGAAAUAGUCUACCUGACUGCCAUUCCGCUUCGAGUAAAUCUGUUAUUAUAAUAUAUUUUUCCAUGAAAUAUGGUCUCAUUGUUGCUUCUUGAGUAAAUCUUUCUGCGAAAUCAAGAAUUUCAGCAGAGAGUAAUAGCCGUCCGGGACACAAAAAUUUGAAGUAUAGGGCAAGCAUUCUAAUUGUUCACACAUGAAGUAAUACUCUUGCAAGAGCUACACACUAAGUACUUUAAUUAUAAUCUUUUACGCUCAGGAAAAAGAUUCAACCUACAAAUCUUGAAAGCAUUUUUUGAAAUGUUUUUGCUGAGUACCUUAGAAAUCCAAUAGAAAAGGCUAAUAAGCAAAAUUUCCUGCUUAGUUAUAGUUCUGUGAUUCAUUGCUAAUAAUCGUGCUUCUAUACGGCCCUUGAAGGAUUUCCAGGUGCUGUUCGAUGGAAUGCUCAGUGGGAUGUGUGAAUUUUAUGGUCAGAUUUUCCUGCCAGGUUGAAUAGCUGAUGCAGUGCAUUGAGUGUUUUCCAUCUACCAGAUUUUUCCUAAUCGUUAUGCAGGCUUGUGGAUGUUUUGGUCGAGCUUGUGCUUGGAUUAUAAAUGUGACGUUUUUAGCUCUGUGAAAGUAAAGAUGCCUCGAUAUAAUUUGUGCCCAUAAUACAUGUUUUUUUAAUGAUAAGAUGUAUCACAUAUGCUGCAGGUUUUGUAUGAAUUUCCAUUCCGACCUUUCUUGAUCUCAACUGCUCUUAAUUUGUUUUAUUGUUCCACCAAUUUUGUUUGUGCAAAAUCUACCAGCCCACAAUUUUCUUUUGCUUUUGUUAAACCAUUGGCUCCUAGAAUGUUUGUUUAUAUAAGAUGAUUCUGAGGGAAAGAGUUCUAUCUAUUCUGUGGAGCGGAAUAGAUGUUUCUGUUGAGUUUGGAUUUGCUAUGAAGAAGAUUUACUGUUGCCUGAUCUACGACUUGGAAGAAAUACAAACUUGAACUUUCCUACGAAAGCAUAUGGGAGAUCCUAUUUCAUCGUCCACCUGGGAUGCCAAAACAGUUCCUUCUGAUGCAGUCGAUCCACACAGGCUGGGUCUGCCGUGCCAAUGUGCGAGAAGCAUUCGCCAAUCGCCGCGUGUUUGAUGUACAGGACGUGGGAAAACCCUGGAUGCCAAUCCCCUCUUGUCUGUGGUGAAGAUGGUUGAACCAGAGCAGAUCAAUUGUUGCAUAUUUUUAUACCACUCGAUCCAUAUGUUUCAUCAUCUGCGGAACACCAGAGAAGGGAUAUGUUGUUGUACAUGAGGUAUUAAUAAAGUUUCGCGUUCUUUGUUCUGGUGGAUUUGGUGCGUUGGGUUGCCAUGUAUGCUGAAUAUAUUUUCCUUAGAUUGCUCUUGUGUUUUUGGUGCAAAUUGAUCACAGAGGGCCUAGGAGGGUAAUUCUAACAAGUGGUGCUCUAAUAUUCACUUAUUCAGUUGCGUUCUGGAAUGACCUCUUUCUGCUUCCUCUUGUAAGCUUUCGUUUAUUUCGUUUGUCUGCUGUUUUCUUCCUUCUGUAUUUUUUUUCCUUUCUUUGGUGCUGGCGGCCAAAUUCAGAGGCUAAUUUGUUUCCUUUCAAGGAGGAAGUAAUAUAUGAGUUUUCUUUUCACUUCCUUGCUUUUGCUUAAAUACAAUUGCUUGUUUAUCGACAAAGGAAUCAGCUGAGAUUCGCUUUUGUUCUGCAAAUGGGAUUCAAAUCAAAUUUCAGUUUAACAUUUUCUAGACCGACAUUUUCCUGAAAAUAUUCUUGGCUGCUUUGGUGGUAAGCAUACUGAAGGUAGUAUUCCAUUGUCACUGACAUUUUACAGUUAAAUGUAUUUCUAAUUAAGUUUCUACAUAAAUAUGGUUGUCGAGUAGCAUCAUUGAUUUAUUAUAAGGUACUCCCUCUGUAAACUAAUAUAAAAGCGUUUAGAUCACGACUUUAGUAUUCUAAACGCUCUUAUAUUAGUUUACGGAGGGAGUACUUAUUGCUAUUAGUGUCCCUUUCUACAUACUGAUGGGAUAGUCAAUUAGGUUCAUCAUGAUGGACGUUUACAGCACCAUAAUUGUUGGAUGCCCUUUUUUUAUCAAGUGGUUAUAAAUUCUGUCAAACCCAUGUCUUUUCAUGAUUUUCUAACAUGAAAGUAGUCACUUCCUGGAUAUCAGAGUAUGCACAUAGAACUGAACCGCUUAUCGCCUCAUGUUUUGCUAGAGAAAAAUCAAGCACGAGACAUGUGUUAGGAUGAUGGAUUUCAUAUUAAAAAGACGGAUGUAAUAUAAGAGCACUUGGAAUGAGCACUUGGAAUGCAGUAGACAUAUGUUUAUAGUAGUGUAAUUGUAGGAUUCCUGAUUUGUGGUGCAUAGACCACCUGGAUUAAUUAGUUUUUGUAGUUCCUGUAUUUUAUUUCUUACUAAAAUUUUCUGGGUCGUUUCAAAAUUUCUGCUCUACACAGAAUCUUAAGAAGUUUGGAUAUGCACACAGGUCCUAAUAAUAAUGAGCUGUUUAGUGCAAUGCAUGUGGCAUGAUUACUUCUUCUCUUUUCUUUUUUAUGUUGUACGUUCUUGGAGGUCGCCAUUUCUCUCUUCUGUUGAUCAAGUUUUCUUCUUCUUUCUUCUGCUUAUCAGGGUUUCUUCCUUUCCUUUUUUUCUGAAAAUUGCAUUUAUUGUGUGACCUAUGUAUUGUCAUUAUUCUUGCUUCAUUGGUCGUGUUGAUAUUCUGGGUUUGGCCCGACAUUGUGUUUUCUUUUGCCUCAUGCCAUUCAUAUUUUGUGGUUGCGUGUGGACAUGAUUUGCGCACUUAUUUCAAUUGUUAGCCGUGUAUCAUGGUGUGCUUUGCCUGCUUUUUCAUGCUUGUGUGAAUUGACCAUGGUCUGUUCUUGUUGGGGGUAAAGCCUGAACUGCCGGGUACACUUUGCUUAUUGUCCUUAUUCUGGUUGUCCUUGGCAUCUUUCUAUCAGUGGAGAUCCUUGUCUUCAAAUAGUAGGGAUAGAGGGACAGAAAAGACAUAUUUGUCGCGGCGCUGCAAGUGUUGCCCCCCUCCUCCCCAAGGGCAAGGUGAAGGAAGGUGCCUGUGUGGUUCUUCUGCAGUUCACAGCGAGGAUUGCUGUGUCCAACCUGCACAAGAAUGCCAAGAAAUCCUUCUCGGAGAUGAUUAAGGACAUGUACCUGCACUACAACGAGAGAUCUGGGCUGCUUCUUUGUGGCUUCCAAACUUGAAAUGUUUGUUUGGAAGUUAGUUUAGGUUUUUUUGUGGAUUCACAGCUUCUCACAUGUACCAUCCUCUUAGACCUUUAGAUUUCCAAAGAAACUAAAUGGAGAUAUGGUGGUAUGGUCUCAAUAGUACAACUUAAAGCCUUCCAUGCUU
Long non-coding RNA from Triticum aestivum (bread wheat), 5517 nucleotides. RefSeq lists it as uncharacterized. The transcript is spliced from 6 exons. The record is from RefSeq and is a predicted model, not a curated record. Lineage: Eukaryota; Viridiplantae; Streptophyta; Magnoliopsida; Poales; Poaceae.